RNAcentral lists this long non-coding RNA (3297 nucleotides) under Paramuricea clavata. Lineage: Eukaryota; Metazoa; Cnidaria; Anthozoa; Malacalcyonacea; Plexauridae. The record is from RNAcentral.
CGAAAAAAAAAUGUGUAAAAUAUAAAUUGCUGAUUCAGCACAACGUGUGACGUCAUUAGUUGGGUAAGUAUGUUUAAUGAAUACCAUUACUAAACUGAAGCAUAGCUCAGACCACCCACUCAAGAUCGUUGGUCACGCCCGCGAUCAUUGAUGAACUUUAAAACUUCGCUAUUAAUGCUUUCGUUUCCCCGGGUGUAAAUAGCCUGGGGAAUUAGUACCCUCGCCCCUGGCUUAAGCCCGGAACGGCGCUCCGCGCCGUUGGCUCGGGGAUGACAGUUCCACCAAGUAUAGGAUUAAGGCAUGGUGGAAAAGACGGAGUCGGAGUCUGUCAAAAAAUUGGUUAUUUUGCCUGAAGAUUCGAUUUUAACGCGCAGAGUCUGUCAAAAAAUUGGUUAUUUAAUUUUGCCUAAAUAUUCGAUCCGAGUUUUCCACUUUAUGUACUGUUUAAUAAACGAGCAGGAGUGUUUUAUUAGAUUUAAAGUGGCUUUAGACCUAAUAAAACACGACCUGCGAGUUUAUUAAACGGCUUCAAACACGACUACAAAUUCAAUAGAUAUACUGCCUUAUUAGUAUUCUUUAUAUAAAGAAUACUAAUUAGGAGUGUUUUAUCAGGCUUAAAGCCACUGCACGUGACAUAUUAUGGUUGACAUGAUUUGCCAAUGAGCUUAUGAAUUAUUAAUGAGUGUUUGAAAGAUGGUUUAAUAAACUCUUUGCAGUAAUAGACAACUGAAUGGACCAUUUGCAUUAUAGACUAAAUUUUGAUCUAGACAAACAUUUCAUCACAGCUUGAAAGAGCAUCACCAAAUUAGUAAUAUUCCAAAGUUAGGUUGCGAAAUAUAGGCUUGCGAAAUUUGCAAUUUUCAGUCAUUUUGUAUUACAAACGCGAAAUUGAUGCCACAACACCCGAUUGGGCUGUCAAUUUCCCGUGCGUAAUACAAAAUGACUGAAAAACGGCAAACUUACGAAAGAUUCUACUCUUAAUUAUCAGGGUUUUAGGUAUCUCGUUCGAUAUAACCAAUUGUUGAAGAGAGUUGUAAGCAGGAAUCCAACCUGCGAUUUCUGAUAUUUACCCAUGCACCGUUACAUUGCCAUUGGCAUCACCGUAGUAUUUAUACUUAAAAUAUCAUUAAUAAUUCAUAAACCUUGUGGCAAAUCAUGUCGGCCAUAAUAUGUCACGUGGAGUGAAUUUAUAUCUGAUAAAGCAUGAGGCAUUAUAUAAUUGUUCAUCCUAAUUAGUAUUCUUUUGUAGUCGUAUUUUAAGCUAUUCAAAAUACUCGUUGUCGUGUUUUAUCAGACAUAUCUGCUAAAACACUCCUGCUCGUGUUUUAAAUAGUACAUGAACUUGUGGUUAGGGCUCGACAACUGUCUCUACUGUAUUUUUACAACUUACAUUGUUUACAAUCAUUUGAAGAAGUGUUCUUAAGAAGUCUAAGAAUGAUAUGGAAAGCUUAAUAAAUUCUUCCCUGUAUUUUAAGACAAAAGAAAGUUUCUAUCUGAUGAUGCUAUAUAAUUAAGCUCAGCUUAAUCCUACCAUUACUGAUUAGAACUGAACCAAAGCUGGUACUCAUUCAUCAGUUAUGUUCAUACAGCUAGUUCACAUACUUUAUCUGUUAAGUUAAGAAAUGUUUUAGAAAACUGACUCAGUGUUAAACAACUAAGUUAGUUCCCUCACAUAUUUCUUACAAAUCCUUCAAAAUUCCUACUGUGAUCACAGAAACUUUGAUAGUGUAAAUCAGGUCCUAAGAAAAGGUUAUAUUGUCCUUUAUACGUGAUCUGAUGCUUCAGUAUUUUGCUCUGUCUAGACUGUCUAACAACAGGGGUUGGUUGUUCAAAGCUAGGUUUGCUUAACCCUAGUAGGUUAACGUAAACUUCAGAGCAAACUUCCUGACAGCUUGUCUAUAAAUUCGGAAAUAUUUCUUUAGAGUCUUGUCUGGAUCGAUAAGAGUUUACUUCUCUGAAGUUUUGAAAUAAACAGACGUGCAGAAGUACACAAACUAAAACAGCAGGUUGAAUUUUAACCCAGGGUUAGCGCUAGUCCAGCUUUGAACAACCGGCCCAGAUGAUUUUACUUGUCAAUGGAAAAGUUCUCGAACCAAUUCACAUAAAAAGCAAAGCAUAUUUUCAUACCGGUUGAAUUGUUCAUAUUCUUCUUCUUGACUAGCUUGUUGCAGUAUGCUGUCUACAAGGUAACAGAGAUGUUGUUAAUUUUCUUUCAUCCCCUUAUUAAAAAAUUGCGUAACAAAUUAGCGGGCACUUGAGCUUGGAUCAACAUUGAAUGCAUGAUAUCUUCACAUGCAGUGCAACCGGGAAUCGAAAAUCGUGACCACUUUGUCCUUGACAAUGGGAAUCAAAUAUAUCCAGUUUAAAUAUAAACUAAUCUUUGUCCCUCGAUCCUAGGCAGAACCUGUUUCCUCGAUUUUUUCCUUUAAAUAGUAAAUCGCUGGAUGCCCUAAUUUUCUAUUUUAUUCCAUCUAAUAACAGGGGUGGCCAUGCCGGGGCGUACGGGAAGGAAAAAAUUAGGGGGGCGGAAAGAAAUUUGCCCGACUUUUUCGGAUUGUGCCCUCGUUGUCAAAAAAAAUUUUCCGGAGAAACUUUCCAAAAUUGUUGUCGACGGGAGGGCGGGGGAGGAGUGAUUACGAAAAAUUCCUAUUAGAUAGCAUAUUUCCCACAAAAUUUCCCACAAAAUUGACAGAAUUUGUCCCAUUUAUUUUUAUAAUAAGCGAAUAUUGCCAGACUGGCUUUGUUUGCCCAACAAACUGGGGGGGGGGGGGCUGCCGCCCCCUCCGCCCGGUACGCCCAUGGGGGUGGCGCUAGAGGAGGGUGUAGGGAAGUGGAAACCACCCUCCAUCCACGAACAAGCCGGCAAAUUGUUGCAUUAAUUCGGCAGAAAUUGAGCUGUUUGGAUAUGGACCGAAAUAUCGAUUUAUCUGAAUUAGUAGAAGUAGUAGUAGUAGAACUUUAUUUAUACACGCUGACCUCGUCAACUACGGCUGAUUUCCACGGGGGGCGUGUAAAAUUAAAAAAAAACAAAGGCAAAAAACCAAACGUGAAUUUAAAUAUGAAACUUAAUACUUCAAAAAGUCUGGUGAAUAGAUAUAUUGAAAAUGUACUCUAUCGAGUAGUUGCGGGUAAUUUAAAAUUGAGAAGAGCCCAACAGCCUACAUAAAUGCAGACGAGUUGGUUUUUGACAGCGGUCAUGGCUGGAAGCAGUUGUUGUGGAUGGUUAGGAUCAGUUUCAAUCGUCGAGGUGGUCAUUUAAAAUCUUCCCCAGAACCACAGAAUACUAUACAGAAGUCC